Molecule: long non-coding RNA, 496 nt
Filed under: Olea europaea (common olive)
Lineage: Eukaryota; Viridiplantae; Streptophyta; Magnoliopsida; Lamiales; Oleaceae
Description: long non-coding RNA (OEUR_LNC005654)
Source: RNAcentral
GACAAACCAAAUCAUAUUCUCCUUUCCAGUUUCUGAUCAUUACUCCGCCUCCCAUGCUGUUUUCUUCUUUAAAAAAUGCUGCAACGAUAACUUCUAAAAAAUUUCUUCUGUUUGCCACAUCUGCGAGGAACUUUUAGCUAUUGUUUCAGUCUCCAUUUCUGUAGCGUCUUUGCAUUUUCUCUCACAUCCUCAUGCUAAACUAAUCUUGGUAUCAGCUCUAUCCUGCAAGUAUUAUACUUCAUAUCUUCACGGCUUCACCAUAAUCCUGUACCUUUCAUGGCAAAUAAAACCCCACAAGAAAGUCACAUAAUUUCCAUGCAGCUUAUGUAUGGUUUCUCUGUCAGAAAGCCAAUACUAGGGCUGCUUAUUUCUAUUGUGAUAACCUUGAAAAUAGACAAGGCACAUAUGUAUUGCAAGAUAGCACUGAUCAGAACAUAUAUAGCAUCCUAUUCAACUUCUUACUAACAUAUAUAAUACCCACCUUUUGUUGGAGUUU